Molecule: ribosomal RNA, 251 nt
Filed under: uncultured bacterium
Lineage: Bacteria
Description: partial 16S ribosomal RNA
Rfam family: Bacterial small subunit ribosomal RNA
Source: RNAcentral
CGAGCAUGUGAAUGUGAGCGAAUCCCAAAAAUAACGUCUCAGUUCGGAUUGUAGUCUGCAACUCGACUACAUGAAGCUGGAAUCGCUAGUAAUCGCGAAUCAGCAUGUCGCGGUGAAUACGUUCCCGGGCCUUGUACACACCGCCCGUCACACCAUGGGAGUCGGUAACACCCAAAGUUGGUAGUCUAACCGCAAGGAGGACGCCGCCUAAGGUGGGAUUGAUGACUGGGGUGAAGUCGUAACAAGGUAUC